RNAcentral lists this long non-coding RNA (4736 nucleotides) under Podarcis lilfordi (Lilford's wall lizard). Lineage: Eukaryota; Metazoa; Chordata; Lepidosauria; Squamata; Lacertidae. The record is from RNAcentral.
ACUUCCCGAGGACCGACGGCAAGGGAAGCAGGACAAAAUAAAGCCAGGCUGACAACGAGCGGAGAGUUGCUCUUCUUAGGGAAGGGCUGUGCGCGCGUUGUUUUAGACUUGACCUUCUUUAGUGACAGAAUCAGGAUGCUUCCUUAUUUCAGCAGCAGACGUUAUUUCAGCAACUCAGUGCAUUUCAAUGUCGCUUCCCUGAAGCAGAUGUCCCCUUGCAAUUUACAAUUCAUUCAAAAAACUCCUACAGUCAGGGGCAUAUGCGUUUACCUGGGACGUAUACCUGAGUUUAUCUGAGUUCAAGCUCCCUUGAACUCAAUGGGACUUAUGUAUAGGAUUUUUUUUCUGUUAGGCUGCAGUCCUUUUACCUGCCUAAAUGGAAGUAAGUCCCAUAACUAAAUGAGGCUUGCACAGGGUUGCAGUGUAAGGCUUUGUGACAUUUAAUUAAAUUAAAAUUAAUUUUAAAUUUAAAUUAAAUUAAAAUUAAGACGAACAUAGUGAGUCCACUUCAUUAGAUGCAUGAAGUGAAGUGCACUGGAGUCCAUGAAAACUGAUGCUAUAAACAAAAUGUGUGAGUCUUUAAGGUGGCACAAGACUUGGUUGAUUUUGCUACCCCUCUGGAAAUAAGUAUAUACAAUCAGUGCUUUUUUUUCUUUAAAAAAUUGUUUAGGGGUACUCUCAUUUUCCUACUCAUAUUGAAAUACUGCCCCUCAAGGAGGCCACAUUUAGAUUCACAAAAUGUUUAGGGGUAUGUGUACCCCCGCAUCCCUGUCCCCCUGAAAAAAGCACUGUAUACAAACAUACAACAAUCAGUUUAUUUUCCACUAAUGUUCCUUAUUUUGGGAUAAACUACAUGAGUCUCAAGGGGAGUGAAUGUUUAAAUGCACAAUAACUUGUCUGGAGACUCUCUGUGUGCACUCUGUAAGAAAGGGGACUACAAAUUAUAGGCUUCUUCAACUGCUACAGAAUAGUAAUUAAAGACUAAUGUAGUGCUUCUGUUUUUACUGCAGGUGGCAUCAUGGUAUAUACUCAUUCUGCAGGGAGUCAGAAGCUGAAUACCUCUGGGAAGAUUAUGCUUUCUUUAAUCUUACUGGAAAAGUUAUUGGUACUUAUUUAGAAUUUCACUAAUUCAUUACUUAUAAAUUUCCUUUGGUGAAUUUUCCAGUUGUUUCAUUCAUUUUGUUCAUUUUGCCAUAAGUGUAAAGUGCUAAUAUCUGGAAUACAUAAUUUAAUUUAGGAACAUCUUCUUUUUAUAUAUAAAAAACCAAUACAAGCUCUUUAACUUGAAUGUUAGUAAACAAAAUUUUCUACAAAGUGCUACUGAUCCAAAGAAAUGCUUCCUGUGCAAUUCAAUAGUCUAAAACUGCCUCUGAAUUUUAUUAACACACUAAAUUUAACAAUCUGAGCAUCUGCUGGUAGGUGGAGUACUAUGAAACAAGGCUUCCCAAAGUGUGCGAACUUCCCUACAACAUGACAAAAAAGGUGAAUUUCCUCAAGUAUAACUAAGUGAAAACAAAGACAUAGGCAUGUUUAGACAAUGUUCAACCUAACAUGAGCCUUGCGUAAAGAAGAGCAGGGUGGCAGAAAAGGUAUAAUACAACAUGUAUUAAAGUUCUAGGGAAAAAAGAAAGCAUAUAAAAAUAGAUAUUAUCUCUGUUAAUCACACCCAUCAGCAUAACCUACCCAAUACAAAUGCUUAUUCACAUUUGUAGUGUAUCUUUUCUCCAAAGUGCUCAACAGAGUACACUUGAGCUCUGGCCAUUUUUAUUUUCACAACAACUACUUGAGGUGUGACAUAAUGCCUGACUCAAUGAGUUUCAUGGCUGAGCAAACAUUUAAACCCAGAUCUCCCAAGUCCAUUAAUUAUAGCACACUUGAUCUCAUGUUCUGCUAAGCUGGAGGAGGAGAGGUUUAUAUUCCAAACCAAAGCAGUAUAUACCCAUUUGUUAUGUGCACAAACUACAGUAGGGGAGGGGGAGUCAAGGAUAGACUUGAUAAGAUUUCCCCUAGCAAAGUCUUAUGUUUUCUCAUGCCUAAUCCAUAUGAUUGUGCAUGUCAAUUUUAUCAGUCUUUGCUGUGCUAUGCAUGUGAUCACAAAAGGACAAUUAUCUUGAGGCAAGAGCACCUAGGAAAUCCUAAUACCCUAACAAGGCAAGCGCCAACCAUAUGUCACUUCCAUUUUGUCAUUAUUAAGAUUUUCUUUAGUUGGAUCUUAACAGCCUGCUUGCAUGCAGGCACACACACACACACACACACACACACACACACACACACACCAAAUGAGUAAUAUUUGGGAAGUGUAACAGUGAAUCACCUGAUAUGACAUUUACUCAAAUUCUUUUCUUGUGACUGUGAUGCACCGGGCUUAACAACAAAGUACAGUUUACAAGUGAAAUUCUACUUUAGGAGCCUCUGAAUCACCACCAGCAAUGUAGAGGGGCUAAGAUUCCCUGCACAUCUCUCUGGAGUGUCAUUCUAAAGCAAAUAUUUAUGUAGUGCAUUGCAUCUAACCAGAGUUUGGAAGCUUCUGAACAUUUUGGAGCAGCUUCUGAACAGCCUCCCCCCCAAGAGUAGUCAUAAUACAGUACUGACAUUUGUUGUCAUGAUAACGUUACAUCCUGAUUGUUGUGCUGAAAACAUGAGCAAAUCUGGGCAAUGACAGCAGAAAUGAUACCAACAGACACAAGUAUAAAUUUUCAUUGGCACUUUUGAGAAUGCAUCCAAGGAUUAUUAUGUAAGAUUACGUACACUAAGCUGUUGAGUAGGACUUGUCUGAGAAUAAGAGUAUUUAACGAGGGAUAAGGAGAUGCCACAAAUGGCUGGGGAGCUAAGGAGGAAGAGCCAGGGGCUACUGCUACUACACCUUAUGCCACCUGAGGCAGUCACCUCACUUUUCCUAACAGUGGGGCUGGCCAUGGUGCUUGUGUCUUGCAACAGCAACACUAACAGAUCUAGGGAGAGCUAAAGUUUACACUGUGGUAAGAAUUUAUUCAUUUAUUUAUUUCAUUAAAUUUCUAUACCAUGCUUCAUCUGAAGACCAUGGGGCAGUUUACUAUAUAAAAACCACAAAAACACAUGCCCUAAUAACAAACAAAACCAAUCCACACAUCCCGCAACCACAUUUCAAAAGGCCAUAGACUGUUCAAUUAGCCAAAGGCCUGGGAGAAGAGGAAUGCCUGGCAUCUAAAGAUAUGCAACGAAGGAGCCAGGUGAGCCUCCUUGGAGAAGAACGGAAUAUAAUUCCCCACAAAAGACAGUCCUUCAAAGGUUUUAAUGAGACAAAAGGGGGAAAUACUAGAUUGUAAAAGCAAGUCUCUUUACAGAGCUAGAGAAAUCAAUUGCAGAACUACAGUAUUUAGAGGUAAGCUUCCUUUAAGACAUAAGCAGAGUUAUAGGGCAAUUUGCAAGGCUAACUUAGGGGUAGGGAUCUAUCUUAUGGGUUACUGUGCUGGCUGUCAAAAUAAAAUACAGGCACACCUAUUUCCAUGUCCAUAUACCUGUCUUUUUUCUCGCAUAGUGAAUAGCAGGCAUAAGGGGUAGGCCUGAAUCCAACUGGGACUCAGGCAAGCAGGGUGUUGAGUUGUAGGUGAACAUAUCAGACGACACAGCGAUUCUUCAAACUGCUCUUGUUUAUUCACAGACCAGAACAGAACUUAACUGAAGGGUCCAGCCAGCCUGCUUAUAUAGAGCUCCACUACAACGCAACUGCAACAACUUUCUGUAACUAUCCAAUCACUGAACGUCACUUUCAAUCCCUUAUUUGCAUAUGUGGACCUGAGUGAAAACUAUCUACAGUACCCCCCCUGCUGGCCCAGGGUGAGAACUUCAGUACAUAACAACGGGGGUUAAAGCUUCCUUCACGGUGCCAAUUUCCCAGUCCCGCUCCCCACUCCACCCCAUUUAUUAAACAAGAAACAGCUAUGCAGCACCAAAUUACGUGAUAAAAGUCACAUCCAGUUUCACCCUUAGUCACUGUGUUACAUUAGUCUUGCUAACAUGUCGCAUAAUUUUAAAUCUGUUUACUCAGAAGUAGUAUCUACUGUUUUCAUGGGGACUUACACGCAACAUCCUCAGCGUAUUUUGGCCACCAUGUAGUCCUCUAUGUUGACACAAGUCUAAUCACUUGAUAGGUUUAUUACUGGCAGAGAGUGCAGCAGGAUAAACAUGGACCCAAUCUGUUCAUCCAGAAUGCUAACACAUUAGCCCCAAACCACUUUAAGAUCAAGGAUAUGCCAUACUUUCCUCUGCAGCAGAAACUAUUACACAAUUCCAGGGCAUUUUAAUGGCCUAAACACAGAUGCAGGUAUUUACUGAAUAUCUUCCCUUCAUGACUCAUUAUCUUCUCCUUAAAGUGCUGUAUCGUGGCUGCUGUUUUAUACUAAAAGGAAAAUUUAAUAGUAAAUAAAAAGGUUCACAGAGUUUAAUGUGUUUGGAGGACACUGAAAUAUAUUGUCCAAAUUGUUUGACAUGUUUAGCAACAUGAAAGGUACAUCUCCAAAGCUAACAACCUUCCCUUCCCUUACUCAGUGGGGUAAGAAGAAAAACUAUCUUGGUUUUGUAGUCAUCCCCUCCUUUAACUGCACCAAUUUAGCACCACCCCUUAUAUCUGAGGUCAUGACCCCUCAACCACUAUGUGUUUUAUUUAGAAUUUCUGAACAUGUAUAUAAUGCCUUUGCUUCAAAAGGAAGCAGUUGUAAUCUGUCCACAAAAACAAUUAAGGAGCAAGUUCUAUCCCC